This 1899-nucleotide long non-coding RNA is filed under the name Lathyrus oleraceus (garden pea). RNAcentral describes it as "Pisum sativum (pea) long non-coding RNA (PSAT_LNC039702)". The record is from RNAcentral. Lineage: Eukaryota; Viridiplantae; Streptophyta; Magnoliopsida; Fabales; Fabaceae.
UUUCCCUCUUUAUUCUUUUUAGUGUGUCGUUUUCUUGUAUAUAUAUAUAUAUAUAUAUAUAUAUAUAUAUAAACAUAUAUAUAUAAGAAUCAAGUAUGAAUAACCCAUACGUGAUAUUUAAAACAUUUUUAAACAACAUGUGUAUGAUUUCAAUGAAUAACUCGUAAAAUACAAAUAGAACUUGUUAAGUUAUUUCUAGGUUGAUUUUUCUAUUUAUGUUAUCUCUUUUUCUGUGUUUUUUAUAAGUUAUGAGUAAUGUAGGGUUUCUUCUUUCCCUCUUUAUUCGUUUUACUGUGUCGUUAUCUUGUAUAUAUAUAUAUAUAUAUAUAUAUAUAAACAUAUAUAUAAGAAUCAAAUAUAAAUAACCCAUACAUGAUAUUUAAAACAUUUUUAAACAACUUGUGUAUGAUUUCAAUGAAUAACUCGUAAAAUACAACUAGAACUGGUUAAGUUAUUUUUAGGUUGAUUUUUCUAUUUAUAUUAUCUCUUUUUCUGUGUUUUUAAAAUAGUUUUGUGUUAUGUAGGUUUUGUAUUUUCCCUCUUUAUUCUUUAUAAUGUGUCGUUAUCUUGUAUAUAUAUAAACAUAUAUAUAAGAAUCAAAUACGAAUAACCCAUACAUGAUAUUUAAAACAUUUUUAAACAACUUGUGUAUGAUUUCAAUGAAUAACUCGUAAAUUACAACUAGAACUGGUUAAGUAAUUUCUAGGUUGAUUUUUCUAUUUAUGUUAUCUCUUAUUCUGUGUUUUUUUAAUCGUUUUGUGUUAUGUAGGGUUUGUUUUUUCCCUCUUUAUUCUUUUUAGUGUGUCGUUAUCUUGUAUAUAUAUAAACAUAUAUAUAAGAAUCAAAUAUGAAUAACCCAUACAUGAUAUUUAAAACAUUUUUAAACAACUUGUGUAUGAUUUCAAUGAAUAACUCGUAAAAUACAACUAGAACUUGUUAAGUUAUUUCUAGGUUAAUUUUUCUAUUUAUGUUAUCUCUUUUUCUGUGUUAAUUAAUAGUUAUGAGUAAUGUAGGGUUUCUUCUUUCCCUCUUUAUUCUUUUUAGUGUGUCGUUAUCUUGUAUAUAUAUAUAAAUAUAUAUAUAAGAAUCAAAUAUGAAAAACCCAUACGUGAUAUUUAAAAUAUUUUUAAACAACUUGUGUAUCAUUUCAAUGAAUAACUCGUAAAUUACAACUAGAACUGGUUAAGUAAUUUCUAGGUUGAUUUUUCUAUUUAUGUUAUCUUUUUUUCUGUGUUUUUUUAAUAGUUUUAUGGUAUGUGGGGUUUGUUUUUUCCGUCUUUAUUCUUUUUAGUGUGUCGUUUUCUUGUAUAUAUAUAUAUAUAAACAUAUAUAUAAGAAUCAAAUAUGAAUAACCCAUACGUGAUAUUUAAAACAUUUUUAAACAACUUGUGUAUGAUUUCAAUGAAUAACUCGUAAAAUACAACUAGAACUUGUUAAGUUAUUUCUAGGUUUAUUUUUCUAUUUAUGUUAUCUCUUUUUCUGUGUUUUUUAAUAGUUAUGAGUAAUGUAGGGUUUCUUCUUUCCCUCUUUAUUCGUUUUAGUGUGUCGUUAUCUUGUAUCUAUAUAUAAACAUAUAUAUAAGAAUCAAAUAUGAAUAACCCAUACAUGAUAUUUAAAACAUUUUUAAACAACUUGUGUAUGAUUUCAAUGAAUAACUCGUAAAAUACAACUAGCACUGGUUAAGUAAUUUCUAGGUUGAUUUUUCGAUUUAUCGUAUCUCUUUUUCUGUGUUUUUUAAUAGUUAUAUGUAAUGUAGGGUUUCUUUUUUCCCUCUUUAUUCUUUUUAGUGUGUCGUUAUCUUGUUUAUAUAUAAACAUAUAUAUAAGAAUCAAAUAUGAAUAACCAAUACGUGAUAUUUAAAACAUUUUUAAACAACUUGUGUAUGAUUUCAAUGAAUAA